RNAcentral lists this long non-coding RNA (4694 nucleotides) under Homo sapiens (human). Its description in RNAcentral is "HSALNT0290409". The record is from RNAcentral. Lineage: Eukaryota; Metazoa; Chordata; Mammalia; Primates; Hominidae.
AGCGAGACUCCAUCUCAAAAAAAAAAAAAAAAGGAAAACAAAGACAGUAUCAAUCUCAUUGUGCUGGUGUGAGAAUUCAAUUCAGUUCUCUAAAUAAUAUGCAUAGGCUCCUCCAGGAAUGGCUAGAACUAGUGGCUCUGUUUAACAAGGAGGGGGCACAGAGGCAGGGGGCUGGCUACAAAGAGAACAUCAGCAUGGUGUCAUUCAUGAGAGCUUUCGGUAAUCAUGGCAGAAAUAAAGAAAAAAACCUUCCAUUGCUAGCCUUGUGGGUGCAAUCCUCUCUAUCCCCAAACCUCUAUACAUGUUUGUUCUAUAUAAGGCUAUAAGCCUCUUGAGGGCAGGAACUUGAUUCAUUUAAUUCUCUGGAUCUUGUAGCGCAAAAACUUAAUAUCUGUUGGAAGAAUGAUCACAUACGAGAACCUUGUAUUUUUCAAAAACAUCAUCUAUCAUGCAAACAGCCCAGACACCAUGAUGGGCUCGUCACAAAGACUCAGGGUGUUUUUAUACCUAAUCCUCAGAACUUUACCAGGUAGGUUCUUGAGCCCCAGGGGAAACUGAGGCUCAGAGAUGCUGAGUCCCUUGCCUGGAGCAACCCAGCUGGGUGGUGGCAGACGGGAAUCCCCAUUGUGCACCCUCCAGAGCUGUUGUUUGCUCUCCCCUUUUUUGUGCCACCUGCCUUCCCUGAAACUAGGUGAUAAUGAAUUCAUUUCUCCCUUUUUGUUAUUUAUCAAAGCCAUAUGUAGCUGUCAAUCAGAGUGGCUGUUCAGCAGGAGAGAAGGAGGGCUCUAACCCUGCGUCCUGUCACUAGGGCCCAAAGCAAAGGGUUGUCGACAACCUGGCAGACCUGGAAGCUCCGCUGGUGGUUAAGUGGAGGCAGCCAGUGGGCACUGUGGAGCUGCCUCUGAGCCAGCCGCAAUGACCACUGCCAGGGCCCUAUGAGGGGCCCAGGAGAGGGUGUAUGCUGAGCUGGGGAUGGCGGUGACAGUCAUUUAGUAACGACUUGCUCUGUGCCAAGCACUGGGCUAAGCGCCAUACAACAACCCUGUAACGUGGGUCCCCCUGUCCCCGCUGUUCCAGCGUGAGGAACAGAAGCUCAGAAGGGCUCCACAGCCCACAGCUGUAUUCAAACCCAGGGCUGCAGACUCCAGAGGCCCUGCUGACUGCGUCCAGGAAGGGCUCCUGGGAGAGGUGUGUCCCCUGGAGGUGGAGGUGUGGAGAAGAGGGCGGGAGGCUUCCAGAGCUUGUGCAGGGAAGAGCUGGCCAGAAGGAAAGGAAAGCCUGCCUCUCUGACGUAAGGUGUCCUGAGAUGAAGUGGCUGGGGAUGACAGUGGGGACAGGGCCUGCAAGGCUGUGCUAGGCGGGAGACAGGGAUCUAGGGCAUCGUCCUCAGAUUCCACGGCAGGUUCAGAAUUACACGGCUGCCUACCUUUCCAGCAGGUCUCAACUUACAAAACCCUCCAGAGCCCCCGCUAGGCUGUUGUCAGCCCAGGGGUGGGCACUCCCGAGGCUCUCCAGGGCCAUUCUCUUUGCCUCUCUGACAGGAGGGUUCCAGAGCCAGCCCUGGAGGAGCAAAGAGAGGGAGGGAGCAGCUGGGGGAUCAGAGAUGCUGGACGUAGCCUGAGGCCGCACGGAGACGGGGAUGGAGAGUCCUGGCUGCGAGGGCCAGGGAGACGCAGAGCCUCCUUGUGCCUGGCACUGGCCCAGAACUCUAAGUGUGUCAUGUCCUCGGAGCCCCACCCUGAGACACCGGGACCACUCUCCUCAUCAUACAAGGUUUCAGCCUCACUGAGAACCUCUCCGUAACCCCGAGCAAGUCACCGCCACAUCUUUCUGGGUCUUGGUUCCCUCUUCUGUCAAAUGGGGAGAGGGGUUGGAGUCAACCCUUCAGGUCUCUCUCAGGAGGAACCUGAAUGACUCUAGGUGUGAGACCAGUGAUGGCUGACAGUCUGUCUAUCUUCCCCCAUCCCCUCUCUUCCCCCUCGAUCUCCAGCCUCAGGAAGUACCUGCUGAAUCAACACGGAGGGGUGGACCAGAAGGCCCUGGAAGGCAGUUCCAAUAUCCAGAAGGGCUCAGGACCCCUCAGACAUACGCAGGUCAGGGCUGAAGGACCUUUGGGGGUCAUGAGGGAUAGCCUGCCCCUUUUACAGGUGGGUAGACUGAGGCCCAGGGAGGACAAGCAGACUAGGAUGGAAGCCCAGGUUCCUCGCUCCUGGCCCCCAAGGAAAGGCUGGCUCCCAUUCUCCUGCUGACCUCAUGGUCUCCUGCCUCCUGCUCUAGUGACUGGCUUCCCAGGAGGGCAGGCUCCCCUCCUCUCUGCCCUCUGCUCUCCCCAGAGCCCUGGCUCUGAUGCCCUGGCUUUGAUCCUAGGACCCUGCUUGGACCCAGGAGGCUGCAGCCCCACUCGGACAGCGGAAGCAGAACGGGGGUUUGUCUUCCACGAGAGCCCGUCUGUUGGCGGCGGGGUUGGGCUCGGUUGGCACAGUGAAGCGUUGUUUCCUUGAAUACACAAUCUGCAGCUUUCCACCCUCACCCGGGCCCUGGCAGGCAGCACUUGCUUCCCUAGAGGUCCAGCUUCCUGGCCCCUGCCUGCCCCAUCAGCCCUCCUAGAACCCUGGCAAGAAGUGCAGGUGCCAAGGGGUAGCUUGGAGGGGUCCAGCUCCCCUCAGUCGCCCUCAGAGUACCUCUCAUCAAACUAGACCAGAAACAGCCUAUGUAAAAAAAAGUGAGUUUGCUGCGCAAAUGAAGCUUCCAGACUGUUCCCUCAGCUGCAUGCCACUUCCAACCACACUGCAGCCUCCCAAGUCCCGCUCAUUUGAAGUGUCUGGGUUCUCCCAGAACAGCUCCAUCUUUGUUUUGGUGGCCAGUGGCAGGGAAGCUGUGGAAGCCCAGGAGAAGGCAGGCUCUGGGGGAAAGGAGAGACGGGGGCUGGGGUUGGGGACAUGAAUGGACAAUCCGCCACGAACACGGAAGCGGGUGUUGGAGAAGGUUUUCCAACAUGAAAGUAGAUGUCUGUGAUGGGAAACCCGGAAGGGGAAGAGCCCGGGAUUUGGAGUCACAGACCUGGGUUUCAGUCCUGGCUCUAUCAUUUUCUAGCUGUGUGGUCUUGGCGAGUUAUUUAACACCCUUUGUCUGCACAAAGGUGACGAAGAGCUCUGUGUCACAGGGCUGUUUGAGGGACCUGGUGAGCGCCUCAGCACUAUCAGCACAGGGAUCUCCGUGGUGUCUGAAUCAGCUCUGCACUGCCCGAUGGGGGCAGUGACAGACAGUGAUCCAUACCCACCCCUGCGUCUGCCCACCCAGGAGCAUUCACGUUACUCUUCCAGGAAUCCUGGAAAUCCUGCUCUCCCAAUCUCGCCAGUCUUCUGCUGGGAAGAAACUUUAGAAGAACUCCAACCAAACACCGUGGAGCCAAGGACGUGGGCGCCCUGGGACUUUCUUGAAGAGGUUCUGGGCCCUGGGACUUUCUCAAAGAGGUUCAGAGGGGCCGGGGGUCAAGGACUUGAUUUUCCCCCAGAAGGACCUUGGGAAAGUAUGGGACUCCUCAGCCACCCGCAACUGGGAACCAGAAAUCCUUCCCCCUGCCUUGGGGCCAAAUGCAGAAGCUGCUGCAAGCUGUGGAGGGCUGCUGAACGCCGGAGCCUUACAACUGUUAAACUCAGGCAGAGCUCGGGAAAUGCUGCCCGGAUGGGUGACUGAUGGAGAGGGGCUACCACUCUUCCAGCUAAACUCCGCUCUGGUUGGGACCCAGCAAUUAUUUUCCAUAGCGAAGUGUUAAUAAAAUAUCUGUUACUCCCAACACAACCUCCUGGGGGAAGGGACCUGUCUGUCUGCUUCAACUUUGGAUCCUCAGUGCCCACAUCAGGAUACCUGGCCUGAGAGCAUCCGGUGACCCAGUUUUAGGUCUCAAGGUCACUGCCAAGAAAGAGAAGCUGCUAAAGUGACACCUCUGUGCACCCACAUGACUUAACACAAAAGUUAACAGGAGCUCUUCAAAAACAAGCCUCUCGAGUGUCUGUCUCCUGUUUUCCCUGAGGACAGCAUCAGUGGCAUCAGAUAGGGGUUGGGGCUGGGUGACCUGCUGGUCCUCAGCCAUCACUGUGGCCCAGAGGUCAUUUAAGCAGCUCUCUGCUUAGCAGACAGGCAGAGGGAAUAGAUGGAAGGUACAGGUAAACACUGCAUGUGGCCACCGCGAGGAUACCCCGGAGCCUGGGAAACAGACAGGGACGUCGUAAAACCAACACAUAAUGGACCAGUGCAGAGACAGGCAAAACCAGUCAGAAGAAAUAGGAUGGUGCCUAGCCCAGGGACACCUGACUUAAGAGAGGGUCCUGCCGGUAUUACCCUGGAGGAAGGAAUGCUGCACAGAGGCCGAGAGGAAUUUGAACAGACUGGCCUUGCUGGGUUUUUAUCUCUUUUUGUCCAAUCCCAUUUUGACACAGUUGUCCAUGCUCCAAUCAUGCUUAUCCAAUGAAGUUUCCAUAACAGGCCUGAGAGGACAGGGUUCAGGAGCUUCCGGACAGCUGAGCAGGUGGAGGUUCCUGGAGGGUGGUGUGCCAGGGAGGGUGUGGAAGCUCUGCCCCUUCCCCCAUACCUUGUCCUAUGCAUUCCUUUAUCUGCAUCCUUCAUUUUAUUUUAUUUUUUUUUGAGACGGAGUCUUGCUCUUGUCGUCCAGGCUGGAAUGCAGUGGUGCGCGA